CCGCUAAUGGUGUAGUGGUAACAUGUGGGCUUCCCAAGCUCACGCCUCGGGUUCGAUUCCCGGUUAGCGCA
Powellomyces hirtus is the source of this 71-nucleotide non-coding RNA. Lineage: Eukaryota; Fungi; Chytridiomycota; Chytridiomycetes; Spizellomycetales; Powellomycetaceae. The record is from the annotation of a GenBank genome assembly.